This 78-nucleotide transfer RNA is filed under the name Balakata baccata. Its description in RNAcentral is "tRNA-Gln". It matches the Rfam family "tRNA". From Rfam's summary of the family: Transfer RNA (tRNA) molecules are approximately 80 nucleotides in length. Their secondary structure includes four short double-helical elements and three loops (D, anti-codon, and T loops). Lineage: Eukaryota; Viridiplantae; Streptophyta; Magnoliopsida; Malpighiales; Euphorbiaceae. The record is from RNAcentral.
UAUAAAUGGGGCGUGGCCAAGUGGUAAGGCAACGGGUUUUGGUCCCGAUAUUCGGAGGUUCGAAUCCUUCCGUCCCAG